GACGUAGGGCGCGAGCGUUGUCCGGAUUUAUUGGGCGUAAAGAGCUCGUAGGCGGCUUGUCGCGUCGUCCGUGAAAACCCACAGCUCAACUGUGGGCUUGCGGUCGAUACGGGCAGGCUAGAGUUCGGUAGGGGAGACUGGAAUUCCUGGUGUAGCGGUGAAAUGCGCAGAUAUCAGGAGGAACACCGGUGGCGAAGGCGGAUCUCUGGGCCUUACCUGACGCUCAGGUGCGAAAGCGUGGGGAGCGAACAGG
Molecule: ribosomal RNA, 253 nt
Filed under: uncultured bacterium
Lineage: Bacteria
Description: partial 16S ribosomal RNA
Rfam family: Bacterial small subunit ribosomal RNA
Source: RNAcentral